This 569-nucleotide ribosomal RNA is filed under the name uncultured bacterium. Its description in RNAcentral is "partial 16S ribosomal RNA". It matches the Rfam family "Bacterial small subunit ribosomal RNA", at positions 355 to 1363 of the family's 1533-position model. The record is from RNAcentral.
UGGGGAAUAUUGCACAAUGGGCGCAAGCCUGAUGCAGCGACACCGCGUGAGGGAUGACGGCCUUCGGGUUGUAAACCUCUUUCAGCAGGGACGAAGCGCAAGUGACGGUACCUGCAGAAGAAGCACCGGCCAACUACGUGCCAGCAGCCGCGGUAAUACGUAGGGUGCGAGCGUUGUCCGGAAUUACUGGGCGUAAAGAGCUCGUAGGCGGUUUGUCGCGUCGUCUGUGAAAUUCUGCAGCUUAACUGCAGGCGUGCAGGCGAUACGGGCAGACUUGAGUACUACAGGGGAGACUGGAAUUCCUGGUGUAGCGGUGAAAUGCGCAGAUAUCAGGAGGAACACCGGUGGCGAAGGCGGGUCUCUGGGUAGUAACUGACGCUGAGGAGCGAAAGCGUGGGUAGCGAACAGGAUUAGAUACCCUGGUAGUCCACGCCGUAAACGGUGGGUACUAGGUGUGGGUUCCAUUUCACGGGAUCCGUGCCGUAGCUAACGCAUUAAGUACCCCGCCUGGGGAGUACGGCCGCAAGGCUAAAACUCAAAUGAAUUGACGGGGUCAUAGCUGUUUCCCU